GAGGCAUUGCCUCAAGGGAGGGUCCUUUCUUUGUGAUAACUCUAGCUUGUGUCAAGUUGACACACAAAACCACCUGUACACUUAUAAGUUACCCGGUGUGGGUAUUGUUACAGCUAGAGAAAUGGACUGAGACACCGCUGGGCCUGGGCUACUUCACUGUUCACCAUCUGGCCAAGGAACCUGGGUUGGAAGCAAAUUUGGAUACUUCGAAGCCAAGAGGACAGCCCCUGUCAUAUCUGAUGUUCAAAGUCAGCUCCUCUGUAGCCCAGUUUUCCUUUUCUUUUUUUUAAAUUAAACUAUUUACAUCUUAAA
Molecule: long non-coding RNA, 312 nt
Organism: Mus musculus (house mouse)
Lineage: Eukaryota; Metazoa; Chordata; Mammalia; Rodentia; Muridae
Product: predicted gene, 53580
Exons: 2
Source: RefSeq, a predicted model, not a curated record